This 348-nucleotide long non-coding RNA is filed under the name Androctonus crassicauda. The record is from RNAcentral. Lineage: Eukaryota; Metazoa; Arthropoda; Arachnida; Scorpiones; Buthidae.
UAAUUAUUGAGCAUCGUGAACAAGGAAAAUCAAUUAAAGAAAUAUCUGACAUGUUUAGAGUAACUUCCCGCAUAGUCAUGAGAAUUUGCAGGAACUACACACAGAAGAGAACAAUAUCUCCAAUGAAACCAAAAGGGCGACUGAGACUGACUACUAGAGAGGAGGAGGAAAAUCUGGCUCAUUGCAGUAAGGCUAACCCAUUUAAAGUAGCCAAAAUACUUAAAUCUGAAUUGGCACUACCUGUUUCGCUACAAACAGUUCAAAGACGGUAUGUCCUUUUAUAAUAAACAUAAAAACAAAAUUUUUAUACAUUUAUAAGUUUAUUAUAAAAGGACAUACUGUCUUUGA